AGCUCUGCGAAUGUGCACUAAUGUUGCUGCGGUUAAAAAGCUCAUAGUUGGAAAGAGUUGGGUGUGUGUUAUGCAUGCCGUACUUGUGAGGGUUCACGUCUUUAUUGACGUGUUACUCGCUCAAGCAACUAACGCUUCAACAACUUGUUGAGGCUUAUUACUUUGAACAAAUCAGAGUGCUUAAAGCAGACUUACUGUCUGAAUGAUUUUGCAUGGAAUAUGAGAAAAAGACGGAGAUUUGUUGUGUUUCUCGAACAAUCUCACGUAAUGACUAAUGGGGUCUUGACGGUGGCGUACGUACUGCAGCGCGAGAGGUGAAAUUCUUGGACCGUUGCAUGACGCACAACUGCGAAGGCAUUCGCCAAGCAUGAUCUCA
RNAcentral lists this ribosomal RNA (376 nucleotides) under uncultured eukaryote. RNAcentral describes it as "SSU rRNA". It matches the Rfam family "Eukaryotic small subunit ribosomal RNA", at positions 587 to 972 of the family's 1831-position model. The record is from RNAcentral.